RNAcentral lists this ribosomal RNA (907 nucleotides) under uncultured bacterium. RNAcentral describes it as "bacterial SSU rRNA". It matches the Rfam family "Bacterial small subunit ribosomal RNA", at positions 8 to 916 of the family's 1533-position model. The record is from RNAcentral.
AGAGUUUGAUCCUGGCUCAGGAUGAACGCUAGCGGCAGGCUUAACACAUGCAAGUCGAGGGGUAACGAUGGCUUCGGCCAGGCGACGACCGGCGCACGGGUGCGUAACGCGUAUGCAACCUACCUGUUACAGGGGGAUAGCCCGAAGAAAUUCGGAUUAAUACCCCAUAACAUAUAUUAUCGCAUGGUAAUAUAUUGAAAACUCCGGUGGUAACAGAUGGGCAUGCGUGACAUUAGCUAGUUGGUAAGGUAACGGCUUACCAAGGCAACGAUGUCUAGGGGUUCUAAAAGGAAGGUCCCCCACACUGGUACUGAGACACGGACCAGACUCCUACGGGAGGCAGCAGUGAGGAAUAUUGGGCAAUGGAGGCAACUCUGACCCAGCCAUGCCGCGUGCAGGAAGACGGCCCUAUGGGUUGUAAACUGCUUUUCUGAAGGAAUAAAGACUAGUACGUGUACUAGGUUGAAUGUACUUCAAGAAUAAGCACCGGCUAACUCCGUGCCAGCAGCCGCGGUAAUACGGAGGGUGCAAGCGUUAUCCGGAUUUAUUAGGUUUAAAGGGUCCGCAGGCGGUUAUAUAAGUCAGUGGUGAAAUUCUGCAGCUUAACUGUAGCACUGCCAUUGAUACUGUAUAACUUGAGUUCAGACGAGGUAGGCGGAAUGUGUAAUGUAGCGGUGAAAUGCUUAGAUAUUACACAGAACACCGAUUGCGAAGGCAGCUUACUAGACUGUAACUGACGCUCAUGGACGAAAGCGUGGGGAGCGAACAGGAUUCGAUACCCUGGUAGUCCACGCCGUAAACGAUGAUCACUAGUUGUUGGCGAUACACUGUCAGUGACUGAGCGAAAGCAUUAAGUGAUCCACCUGGGGAGUACGUCGGCAACGAUGAAACUCAAAGGAAUUGACGG